UCAUAUGUGGAAUCUGUGGACAAAAGUUACUCUAGGAAUAACGAGUUGAUCUUCCCCAAGAGCUCGCAGCGACAGCAAGGUUUGGCACCUCAAUGUCGGCUCUUCACCACUUGAGCAUGUAUUAUGUUUCAAGGGUUGGGCUAGAGCCACCACUUGGGCAUAUAUUAUGUUUCUAGGGUUGGGCUCUUUGCCCAUUAAAGCGGUACG
RNAcentral lists this ribosomal RNA (207 nucleotides) under Malus domestica (apple). RNAcentral describes it as "rRNA MD04G0027200". It matches the Rfam family "Bacterial large subunit ribosomal RNA", at positions 2411 to 2600 of the family's 2925-position model. The record is from RNAcentral. Lineage: Eukaryota; Viridiplantae; Streptophyta; Magnoliopsida; Rosales; Rosaceae.